This 705-nucleotide long non-coding RNA is filed under the name Coturnix japonica (Japanese quail). RNAcentral's name for it is "lncRNA (ENSCJPG00005016983.1)". The record is from RNAcentral. Lineage: Eukaryota; Metazoa; Chordata; Aves; Galliformes; Phasianidae.
CAGGCGUUUCCCCAGCACUUCCCCACCCGACCGGCCUCAGCAGGUGUGAGGAUGAGGAGGAUGAAGCCCGGAGUGCGAGCCAGCCCCGCCGGCUGCCGAGUGCCACCAGAGGGUGCUGCUCCGUGCGGCCGGCCGGCAGGGACGGGUGGGAACGGGAGGGAUGAGAGAGGAACGAGGGAGGCUGCGGCCCCCAGCCAGCUCCCUGCCUGCCAGCCCAUGCUGUGGUUGCCAGGCUGCUCGGUUCGGUUGCCCCGCAGCUAGCGAGCUCCGUCUGAUGAACCUCAGCUCCCUCUGGAGAAAACAAGCGUUUGUGGCCGUGUUGAUGUGCAAGGAGAAAAACGUUGACGCCGCAGAUAACGUGUUGUAACUUAAAAAUGCUGACUCACUGGCACUGUGUGCCAACACAAAUGUUGCUGCGGAAAUCAAUCAUCGUGAGAGCCUGGUGAGAUACAACUCCACAGUGUCAUGGGCUUUGAAUGGGCCUCCAAGUUUCUUCUUCAGACAGUUGGCUUGGUAACUCCCAUCGUGUCAGGUUUUUCAGAUCCAAAAACACAGAACUGCUGGAGAUUCCUUGACGUGUAUACAGGCAAAACAGAGCAAGAAAGAAUCCCGUUCAUCCUUGCUGGCCAUUCUGUUUCUGAACUGGGCCAGAAUGAAGCAUCCUACCUUAACAACAGUCCAAAACUCUGCUGGAAUUUGGACUAG